UACGUAGGGUGCGAGCGUUAAUCGGAAUUACUGGGCGUAAAGGGUGCGCAGGCGGUUUUGUAAGUCAGAUGUGAAAUCCCCGGGCUUAACCUGGGAAUUGCGUUUGAAACUACAAAACUGGAGUGUAGCAGAGGGGGGUGGAAUUCCAUGUGUAGCAGUGAAAUGCGUAGAGAUAUGGAAGAACAUCGAUGGCGAAGGCAAUCCCCUGGGUUAACACUGACGCUCAUGCACGAAAGCGUGGGGAGCAAACAGGAUUAGAAACCCUUGUAGUCC
Molecule: ribosomal RNA, 273 nt
Filed under: uncultured bacterium
Lineage: Bacteria
Description: partial 16S ribosomal RNA
Rfam family: Bacterial small subunit ribosomal RNA
Source: RNAcentral